Molecule: long non-coding RNA, 324 nt
Filed under: Naja naja (Indian cobra)
Lineage: Eukaryota; Metazoa; Chordata; Lepidosauria; Squamata; Elapidae
Description: lncRNA (ENSNNAG00000015289.1)
Source: RNAcentral
AACCAGCUGGCUGCAAAGGAAGCAGAAUCAUUGCAUUCGGGUGGUGGCAUUUAGACACUUAGCUCAAGCCAGCACAGAGGAAAGUCUGCUUGAGAGAAAUCAUCUGACCUGGCUCUGGAGAUAUUUCUGGAAAAAUGGCCAAGUUCCUACCAGUUCUGCUGUUUGCAUCCCAGCUUUCCUUGACAGCAGGUGAGAGUUUUCUGUAGGAUAUAUUGUCCAAUAAUAUUCUCAGAAUUGUCCAUCAAAUUUAGAACUUCAACUUUGUGCCAGAACUUUAUAAGAUGUUCAUUACUCCCUUAAAAACUCAGCUCAGGAGAACUGUUG